ACGAACGCUGGCGGCACGCUUAACACAUGCAAGUCGAACGAACUUGUAGAGCUUGCUCUACAAGUUAGUGGCGUACGGGUGAGUAACACGUAGGAACCUGCCCUUGAAUGGGGGACAACUCCGGGAAACUGGAGCUAAUACCGCAUAAUCUCGAGAGAGGAAAGGCCGAAAGGUCGUUCAAGGAGGGGCCUGCGUCCGAUUAGGUUGUUGGUAGGGUAAUGGCCUACCAAGCCGAUGAUCGGUAGCUGGUCUGAGAGGAUGAUCAGCCACACUGGGACUGAGACACGGCCCAGACUCCUACGGGAGGCAGCAGUGGGGAAUCUUGGACAAUGGGGGAAACCCUGAUCCAGCGAUGCCGCGUGAGUGAUGAAGGCCUUCGGGUUGUAAAGCUCUUUUGGUAGGGACGAUGAUGACGGUACCUACAGAAUAAGCCCCGGCUAACUCCGU
This 447-nucleotide ribosomal RNA is filed under the name uncultured bacterium. RNAcentral's name for it is "bacterial SSU rRNA". It matches the Rfam family "Bacterial small subunit ribosomal RNA", at positions 29 to 506 of the family's 1533-position model. The record is from RNAcentral.